CGGACGGGGGAGUAAUGUCUGGGAAACUGCCCGAUGGAGGGGGGUAACUACUGGAAACGGUAGCUAAUACCACAUAACGUCGCAAGACCAAAGAGGGGGACCUUCGGGCCUCUUGCCAUCGGAUGUGCCCAGAUGGGAUUAGCUAGUAGGUGGGGUAACGGCUCACCUAGGCGACGAUCCCUAGCUGGUCUGAGAGGAUGACCAGCCACACUGGAACUGAGACACGGUCCAG
This 232-nucleotide ribosomal RNA is filed under the name uncultured bacterium. Its description in RNAcentral is "partial 16S ribosomal RNA". It matches the Rfam family "Bacterial small subunit ribosomal RNA", at positions 99 to 334 of the family's 1533-position model. The record is from RNAcentral.